UAUUCUCAAACGCAAUGAGGUGAGCGAGCAGCACGUGAAGGCAACACCAGUAUGAGCGUGAAUGGAGGAGAGGUUCCCUCAGGCAGUAAAACCGAUGCAGACACUCAAGCCGGAAGUACUGUUGCAGACGCACUUCAUCUGACAAAUGGCUGCGCUGAGAUGCAGAAAUAACCAUGAAGUCAGAAAAGGCAGCAGAGCGUCACGUCACUGAUGAGAAACAGAACACGAAAGACCAAGAGACAACGCACAGUCAUUCCUGUCAAUCACAUCCACACGCUCCAUCCUCAACCAUCUCUGUCAUCAUCAUAUCAUUCCCAUCCGCUAUUGAUUCACCUUCCUGGAAAGAAAACUGCCCAUAACGUCACACAGCUUAAAUGAAGAGCCGACACCAGCCUCCACACAAAACACUG
Long non-coding RNA from Gasterosteus aculeatus aculeatus (three-spined stickleback), 410 nucleotides. RefSeq lists it as uncharacterized. The record is from RefSeq and is a predicted model, not a curated record. Lineage: Eukaryota; Metazoa; Chordata; Actinopteri; Perciformes; Gasterosteidae.